RNAcentral lists this ribosomal RNA (497 nucleotides) under uncultured bacterium. RNAcentral's name for it is "partial 16S ribosomal RNA". It matches the Rfam family "Bacterial small subunit ribosomal RNA", at positions 28 to 507 of the family's 1533-position model. The record is from RNAcentral.
GAUGAACGCUGGCGGCGUGCCUAAUACAUGCAAGUCGAGCGAACAGACGAGGAGCUUGCUCCUCUGACGUUAGCGGCGGACGGGUGAGUAACACGUGGAUAACCUACCUAUAAGACUGGGAUAACUUCGGGAAACCGGAGCUAAUACCGGAUAAUAUAUUGAACCGCAUGGUUCAAUAGUGAAAGACGGUUUUGCUGUCACUUAUAGAUGGAUCCGCGCCGCAUUAGCUAGUUGGUAAGGUAACGGCUUACCAAGGCAACGAUGCGUAGCCGACCUGAGAGGAGGAUCGGCCACACUGGAACUGAGACACGGUCCAGACUCCUACGGGAGGCAGCAGUAGGGAAUCUUCCGCAAUGGGCGAAAGCUUGACGGAGCAACGCCGCGUGAGUGAUGAAGGUCUUCGGAUCGUAAAACUCUGUUAUUAGGGAAGAACAAAUGUGUAAGUAACUAUGCACGUCUUGACGGUACCUAAUCAGAAAGCCACGGCUAACUACGUG